RNAcentral lists this microRNA precursor (187 nucleotides) under Oryza brachyantha (malo sina). Its description in RNAcentral is "MIR812 microRNA precursor family". It matches the Rfam family "MIR812 microRNA precursor family". Lineage: Eukaryota; Viridiplantae; Streptophyta; Magnoliopsida; Poales; Poaceae. The record is from Rfam by way of RNAcentral.
AAUAAAUGAAUUUAUGUGUUUUUGGAUAGAAUUUUUGACUCUUCGUCUUAUUUGCAAUUUUUUAUGAUUAAUAUUUUUUUUUACUACGUAAUAAAACAUGAAUAGUACUGAAUAAUUUUUUUAAAUUUUUUAAUAAAUUUUUUAAAUAAAACGGAUGAUCAAACGCUCGACCUAGGGAACACAUAAU